This 2515-nucleotide ribosomal RNA is filed under the name Lacticaseibacillus paracasei. RNAcentral describes it as "Lactobacillus paracasei 23S ribosomal RNA". The record is from RNAcentral. Lineage: Bacteria; Bacillati; Bacillota; Bacilli; Lactobacillales; Lactobacillaceae.
UCAAACGGCCGCAGAAUUUAUUCGAGUCGUUGGCGGUGGGGCCAAAAGCAACCUUUGGCUGACGAUUUUUGCCAAUGUUUUUGGCUUACCGUUGCGUAAACGCGCUGUUCAACGCGAGGCGAUUGAAGGCGCAACUAUGCUGGCAAUCAUCGGUGAUGGUGAAGUUGUACCAGAUCGAAGCGGGGAUGAUGAGGUGAUUCUUCCUGAACCGACGUUGAAAAGAGCCUAUGAUGAACAGUAUCAACGUUACCUUAAAUUGGCAUUCGUUUUAACAAAUGCCGAGCUAAAGAUUGGAGGCGGGCAAAGUUGAAAAAGUGUCUUCUUUGUGAGAAAAAACUUGGCUGGGUUAAGUUUAAGACGGCUGAUGGUUAUCUUUGCAAGACUUGUUAUGGAAUUGCUAGCCUGAACUACACCAGAACGAUCACUAGGAUGACUUUGACUGAUCUAGAGAAAGUCUAUCAGCAGGCUCAGCAAGAUGAAACGAUGCAAAAUACCGUUGACUUUGAUAUCACGCGUCGAAUCAAUGGCUAUGUUUUAUUUGAUGACAGUCGUCAAAUUUUGUGUUUGCCAAAUAAUAGUCGGUUUGCUGCUGCCAAACUUAAGCCAGAAUACUAUCCGUAUGAGGCGGUUAGAGACGCUCAGAUAUUAGAUCAGGUGAUCAUGGUCAAAGAAAAACAACUGCACACGUUACAAGUGCAAGUUGACUUCUCUAAACCCCAAGACGUUUCAAGGCGAAUUGUCUUGAUUCCUAAGCCGAUUGAAGCAAAAGCAAGCGUGUAUCAUACGAUGUACAAUUUGGCGGAGCAGAUGGCAGCUCAAUUGCGAUCACUGCGCGCUGCGACAUCGUUAAAUUAACAGAUGCAGGCAAUGCUGACGUCAGAACAGAUAUGGAAAAUCUCAGUUGUUGUUAUCGCGCAACUGGGAUUUUUGCGAUAUUCUGACUGAACUGGCAAAUAGGACGAGUUUAGUCAGAAUCAUGGCGACAUCUACGUAAAAACUGGCAUCGCCUAGUCACGAGUAGCCGACUAAGCGAUGCCAGUUCUUUUAAUUCCCCCAAAGCUGUGUUCAGUGUUGCCAUGCCGUAUGAACAGUCGUGUGCCCCCUGAACGGUUACAACGGUGGUGGCUUUAUCGGUUCGCUUCAUCCUCCAAAGCCUUAGCCGCCAGCAGAUUCUCCUCUGCCAUCAUUGGUACACGACCCAGUGGAUCGAGACCAACGUUCAGCAGAUAAUUGAUGCCAAAAUCGUUGAGGUGUUGCUUAUAGCGAUAAAGGGUACGUGGUGUUUUCCAAUUCUGGUCGUGGUACGAGAAGCCCCAAGAAUCAUUAAUGGUGCCGGCAGUUUCGUAGAGACCCAGUGGCGAAGGCUUGAAGCCAGUAAUUUCGUUGUAGUCAACGUCGGUCUUGUUCAUGUCUUCUUUGUUUUUCGGGAUCUCGUUGUCGCCCAGAGAAACGAAGUCGUAUUUGCCAUUGCCUAGACGUGAGUUGAUUAAGCAGUUUGGCUGCAGCUCGCGGACGGUGUCGUAAAUGGUCUGACUUUGCGCUUCAGACAGGGUCAUCGGGACAUCGAACCACGCUGUUGCAAUGUCACCGUAAUUCGACAUGAUUUCCUUGAUUUGCGGCAGAAUCUUGUUGUCGAAACAAAGAUCGAAGUUUUUUUGAUCUUCGUCAGGAAAGUCCCAACUAUUAUCCCAAGUCGUGCCAGCGGUUUCGACAUCGUUUGACUUGUAGCCGCCGCCGUUCGGAUCGUGCCAGUCGAGGUCUUGUGAGUAAUACAGGCCAAACUUGAGCCCGGCUUUUUGACAGGCUUCUGCCAGCUCACCGAUGAUAUCACGGUGAAAUGGCGUGGCGUCAUAAACGUUAUAAGCAUCGACCUUGGAGUGAUACAUGGCAAAGCCAUCGUGGUGUUUAGUUGUUACCACCAGAUACUGCAUGCCGCAUUGCUUAGCGAGUGCGACGAUUUUUUUGGCAUCGAAGUACAGCGGAUUGAAGGCGGUUGCCAAGUUGCCAUACUCAGCAUUAGGAAUCUGAAAUUUUGACUGAAUCCAUUCUGCAUAAGCGCUGGAAGAUUCGCCACGAUAUUCACCAGCUAGCAGUGAAUAGAGGCCCCAAUGGAUCAUCAUGCCGUACUUCGCUUGUUUAAACCAUGCUACAUUGUCAUUCAUGAAUUCUUCUCCUUUGAAAAGUGAACGCGAGCCAGCGCGGUUGCUGCUCCGGGGAGCGCGUUAUGAUGGGUCACGCUAUCUUAAAAUGCGCUCGCAGGUCCAGAAAACUGCACACAAGGAUCUCCAGCAUAAAUGGCCAAAGUCCAGCCAUUUAUGCUCCGGUUUCUAACAGGGCCUGCUCACGCUCUGACUAAAUGGUCAAUUUGUCUUUUUUAACAACGACAAGGUCAUAGACAGCUAACAGAACAUAGAAGAUGCCGCUCCACAGAAUCAUAUUGGCUGGGCCUGCAUUGCCAAUCAUUUCACCGAAGAAUUGGAAGAAAUAAGGGGCGAUCAGAAAGCCGAUGUUGAUG